RNAcentral lists this ribosomal RNA (459 nucleotides) under Triticum aestivum (bread wheat). RNAcentral describes it as "partial small subunit ribosomal RNA". Lineage: Eukaryota; Viridiplantae; Streptophyta; Magnoliopsida; Poales; Poaceae. The record is from RNAcentral.
AUGUCAUCCGGCAGAGCUCAAGGAGAUUUUACUGGAAAAUUCCUUACGACGUUGCCUUGUCUAUCCGUUGAUGAGCAGGCAAUCCAAAAAAGAACGACACGAAUAUAUGCCUGCCCGCAGGCACGUCCCAGGAACGCGCCCCGUGAGCACAAGCGGCGUACCGAGACGAAUUGGACUGUUGGCAUUACGCUGGGAUAUGGAAACUGGUUUGCCAUUUCCGAGAAAUGGGGCUCACUCCACUCCAGGUGCACCUGGCACCAUCACCUGACCGUUCUUGGGUCGACAAGCAAACUGAAGGCCGCAGGAAGGGGGUUAAUUGCCCGGGCUGCUAACAAAGCAUCUGUGCGCUUAACAGGCAAGCAUUUCGGUGGCUAUGCAAUGGCAUGGGCCAACUCCAUCAUCAUAUGGUCAUUACCGAGCAUGGGGCAUCAUCAUCAGCUUACGCCGAGAAUCUCAUAA